UUCUCAGUCACUCACUGCUCCCCUCUCUCUCGUUUUCUGCCACUGUUCAAACUUUUUCCACGUGUGUCUGUUUCACGUGGAAGUUUCAAGAACAGUGUUCUCACACACUUCUCUUCUACAACUAUUUCACAUCUUUUUGGCGCAAAUACAAAAGCUUGUCGGACAGAUAGUUGUCGGUCUGCGGCGCCGAUGUGGAGAGUUGCCAGCAUUUUCGAAAAAAUGCCGAAGUGAUAAGAGAUUGUGUCCUCUUUUCACUC
Molecule: non-coding RNA, 257 nt
Organism: Caenorhabditis elegans
Lineage: Eukaryota; Metazoa; Nematoda; Chromadorea; Rhabditida; Rhabditidae
Source: Ensembl